ACUCCUACGGGAGGCAGCAGUGGGGAAUAUUGCACAAUGGGGGAAACCCUGAUGCAGCCAUGCCGCGUGUGUGAAGAAGGCCUUCGGGUUGUAAAGCACUUUCAGUAGGGAGGAAAGGUAGCAGCUUAAUACGAAGUUUCUGUGACGUUACAGAAGAAGGACCGGCUAACUACGUGCCAGCAGCCGCGGUAAUAC
This 195-nucleotide ribosomal RNA is filed under the name uncultured Shewanella sp. RNAcentral's name for it is "partial 16S ribosomal RNA". It matches the Rfam family "Bacterial small subunit ribosomal RNA", at positions 335 to 526 of the family's 1533-position model. The record is from RNAcentral. Lineage: Bacteria; Pseudomonadati; Pseudomonadota; Gammaproteobacteria; Alteromonadales; Shewanellaceae.